CUCCGCGGAGGGCGGGAGGAGGCGCGGGGCAGCGACGCAAUGCGCCCCUAGUGGCGGGGGUAUUUGCGCCUCUGCUCUGUAGCUUCCGUUUCCACGGUUACGGCGGCGCGAGGCUGUGUGUCCCAGGCCCAUGUCGCCUCCUUGGAGGGCCACACCACCGAAGAUAAAGUAGUGCUUCUGGCAGCUUCUUCCCUGCCGGAUGAAGCCACCCUGGGUCAGUGUGGGGUAGAAGCCCUGGCGACCCUGGAAGUGGUUGGCCGCAUGCUAGGAGUGGAUGAGAGCACAUACAUAAAUAUUUAAGCCAGUUAAUUGUAUUUAUCCGGGGUGUUGAUGAGAAUUUUUACAUCACUGAAGAACUUUUGGACAUGGUUCCCAUGACAGACCCAGCAUCUGAAAAUGACUUAUUUGGGUAUUCACCCAAGAGAAAUGAGAACAUAUCCAUACAAAGACUUGUAGAAGAAUAGGCCCAAACUGGAAACACCCUAAAUCUCCAUCA
Leptonychotes weddellii (Weddell seal) is the source of this 496-nucleotide non-coding RNA. Lineage: Eukaryota; Metazoa; Chordata; Mammalia; Carnivora; Phocidae. The record is from RefSeq and is a predicted model, not a curated record.